AUUGAACGCUGGCGGCAAGCUUUACACAUGCAAGUCGAACGGUAACAGGGUGCUUGCACCGCUGACGAGUGGCGAACGGGUGAGUAAUGCGUCGGAACGUGCCGAGUAGUGGGGGAUAACGCAGCGAAAGUUGUGCUAAUACCGCAUACGUACUGAGGUAGAAAGUGGGGGACCUUCGGGCCUCACGCUAUUCGAGCGGCCGACGUCUGAUUAGCUAGUAGGUGGGGUAAAGGCUCACCUAGGCGACGAUCAGUAGCGGGUCUGAGAGGAUGAUCCGCCACACUGGGACUGAGACACGGCCCAGACUCCUACGGGAGGCAGCAGUGGGGAAUUUUGGACAAUGGGCGAGAGCCUGAUCCAGCCAUGCCGCGUGUCUGAAGAAGGCCUUCGGGUUGUAAAGGACUUUUGUCGGGGAGGAAAUCCCCAGCGUUAAUACCGCUGGGGGAUGACAGUACCUGAAGAAUAAGCACCGGCUAACUACGUGCCAGCCGCCGCCGUAA
This 500-nucleotide ribosomal RNA is filed under the name uncultured bacterium. Its description in RNAcentral is "partial 16S ribosomal RNA". It matches the Rfam family "Bacterial small subunit ribosomal RNA", at positions 30 to 523 of the family's 1533-position model. The record is from RNAcentral.